Molecule: RNA transcript, 1698 nt
Organism: Leopardus geoffroyi (Geoffroy's cat)
Lineage: Eukaryota; Metazoa; Chordata; Mammalia; Carnivora; Felidae
Gene: NDUFA10
Gene name: NADH:ubiquinone oxidoreductase subunit A10
Exons: 11
Source: RefSeq, a predicted model, not a curated record
GUGGAAGAGGACCCCGCCGCGACCGCGUCCCCUCGGGUCCUUGAGCCGGUGCGGACCGCGGAGCCAUGGCCUUGAGGCUGCUGAGAGGGCUCCCCGCGGCGGCGCGGGGCCUGGCGGCGGUCGUCCAGCGCGUGGAAGGAAUUCAUACAGGCGCCCAGUGCAGGCUACAGUAUGGCCCUUUGGCAUACAUACUCGGCGAAAGAACAACCAAAAAAUUCACAGAAUACAGCAGAGUGAUAACUGUAGACGGCAAUAUAUGUUCUGGAAAAGGCGAGCUUGCAAAACAAAUAGCAGAGAAACUAGGCUUGAAGCACUUCCCCGAAGCCGGGAUCCACUACGUGGACAGCGCGACGGGAGACGGGAGGCCCCUGGACGUGGAGCUUAGCGGCAGCUGCAGCGUGGAGAAGUUUUACGAGGACCCGAGAAGUAACGACGGCAACAGCUACCGCCUGCAGUCCUGGCUGUACGCCAGCCGCCUCCUGCAGUACGCGGACGCCCUGGAGCACUUGCUGAGCACAGGACAAGGUGUCGUAUUGGAACGUUCCAUCUUCAGCGACUUUGUUUUCUUGGACGCGAUGUAUAACCAAGGAUUCAUCCGGAAGCAGUGUGUGGAGCACUACAACGAGGUGAAGAAGGUCACCGCCUCUGAGUACCUGCCUCCCCACGUGGUCAUCUACAUCGACGUGCCGGUUCCGGAGAUCCAGAGUCGGAUUCAGAAGAAAGGAAACCCACACGAAAUGAAGGUCACCUCGGCCUAUCUGCAGGACAUCGAGAACGCCUACAAGAAAACCUUCCUGCCUGAGAUGAGUGAGAAGUGUGAGGUUUUACAGUAUAGUGCAAGGGAAGCUCAAGAUGCGGAAAAGGUGGUGGAGGACAUCGAGUACCUCAAGUACAACAAGGGGCCGUGGCUGGAGCAGGAUGACCGGACUCUUCACCACCUGCGGAUGCUGGUUCAGAAUAAGCUGGAGGUGCUGAAUUACACGACCAUUCCCAUCUAUCUCCCAGAAAUCACGAUCGGAGCUCACCAGAGUGACCGCAUCUUCCAGAAAUUCACAGAGAUUCUCAGCGUGGACGUGGUUUAGUUGAGCGCGUAGAGCGCUCUUCAGCCUGCCCUUCGCCCGUCGGGGCGGGAAGACGCGCCGAGACGUGCGCUGCGAGUGCCCCUGCACACGCUGCCUGGAGAGCGCGUCCCCGAGCCUCCGCAUCGGUCCGUGUGCCCCGUGACCUCGAGUCCCGCGUGUGAGGAUAACACGUGUCCCCCGGAGAAGACCGCUAGUGCACGAGGCGGGCUUUUCGCCAGCUGCCAGGACGCAAGUACUGCCCCGGGUACAACGCGGACGUGGGUGACAAGUGGAUCUGGCUGAAGUGACGGACCCCCCUCCGUGGCCUGCAUCGCGAUGACGAGGACACUUCCGGUCUGCCUCACUCGUGGGGUCCCUGCAGCUUACUCGGGGGGAGGGGUGGGUGAGCCAGAACCAGGCCGCCUGUAGUGUAGCUGCUGGGGGACCGGGAGCCUCUAGUGUUUGGAAGGCGGGAAUCUUGUAGCUUUGGGAAUGAUCACCGGGGAAAUAAAUCUGCUAUUAAAGACUGGAUGUUACUAGAUGUUUCUAGAAGAAUUCCCUUUCAUUGCAGCUGUGUUCAGUGUCAUGCAGAUUUUGUACCUGUCUUCACACUUCGGGAAAUAAAAAUAAAACUGUU